RNAcentral lists this RNase P RNA (204 nucleotides) under Opisthorchis viverrini. RNAcentral's name for it is "Nuclear RNase P". It matches the Rfam family "Nuclear RNase P". Rfam says of the family: Ribonuclease P (RNase P) is a ubiquitous endoribonuclease, found in archaea, bacteria and eukarya as well as chloroplasts and mitochondria. The record is from Rfam by way of RNAcentral. Lineage: Eukaryota; Metazoa; Platyhelminthes; Trematoda; Opisthorchiida; Opisthorchiidae.
AGAGGCUAGUGAGGGUGCGUGUCACUCAACUGUCUUGUGGGAAGGUCUGGGACUGUCGACCGAUAUCCCCGUGAUGGGGACCCACCUUGAGGGGGCGUGGGACAAAAGAAGGCUCCUGAGAGGCGCCACGACGGGGCGAGAUGGCCCAAGUGAUAAAAGCACGAAUUUACUGACCGGAAAUUUCGUGGUUCGAACCCGACCUCU